CAAAGGCUGCUGUUCGCCUGCAGCAGCAGCCAUCUUCCCCGCCCACUGACUCUAUACGUGAUGUGAGUGGCCUGACCAGAAUUUGUUUUUUCCAGCUCUCAAGCCAACGGAGAGUUGCUAGACCGACCCUAGCUGCA
This is a long non-coding RNA of Etheostoma cragini (Arkansas darter), 137 nucleotides long. RefSeq lists it as uncharacterized. The transcript is spliced from 2 exons. NCBI's taxonomy places the organism in Eukaryota, Metazoa, Chordata, Actinopteri, Perciformes, Percidae. The record is from RefSeq and is a predicted model, not a curated record.